UAUUACAUCCUUCACAUUACCCUCCGCCUC
This 30-nucleotide non-coding RNA is filed under the name Rattus norvegicus (Norway rat). The record is from RNAcentral. Lineage: Eukaryota; Metazoa; Chordata; Mammalia; Rodentia; Muridae.